Triticum aestivum (bread wheat) is the source of this 1365-nucleotide long non-coding RNA. RefSeq lists it as uncharacterized. NCBI's taxonomy places the organism in Eukaryota, Viridiplantae, Streptophyta, Magnoliopsida, Poales, Poaceae. The record is from RefSeq and is a predicted model, not a curated record. The transcript is spliced from 2 exons.
GUUUGUAAUUUUACAUAACAUAAAAUAUUUUUUACGGCGAUUAUAUAUUUUCUUACGGUCUCUUUUUGCGUUGGAAAUAAGACAACACUUACGGAACGUAAAAUUACGGUGCAUUGAUGGUAAAAUAGAGGGGGGUGAAGAAUAACUAUUCCUCACCCAGGGUGACGAAUAGCGCGACUAGGCAAAAUUGUGAAUAUCAAAACUGACCAUGGUCACAACUAUCACUGCCGAUAGGGUCUGCCCAGGGUGACGAAUAGCGCGACCAUAUAUAUACAUAUAUAUAUAUAUAUAAUAUAUAUAUAUAUAUAUAUAUAGGCAAAAUUGUGAAUAUCAAAACCGACCAUGGUCACAACUAUCACUGCCGAGAGGGUCUGCUCCAUGAUCCGUGCGUAUGAGGGAGAGGUAGAAAUAUGCACGCCUUUUUCUCAAUUUCGACGGCACUUCACCCACUGAUUCCCUGACACUUUCUGCAGCGGGCAAAGUCUUUUCGCAAGUGUCGGAGUUGGUGGUCUAGCAAGAGGCACAUGGAUUUUGUGUGGUCCGUGGCCUGUCACUGUUUCCUGCGUCCCAUACUUCGCUCACGGGUCGACACUUCUGAGAUUUUUGCAUUCGUGACUUGAGACGAGGUGGACCACCAACCCCUUUGAUUUUUUUACUUAACCAUAAGGACUUGUCAAUGUACUCGAUCCUCUUCACCGCCGCUCGCCAUAUCCAGCCAUGAGGACCCCUGUUUUUCUCCUUCCUCCUCCGUGACACCACAGUUGUUUUGCACUUCUGCCCUCGCGUCACGCCCCCUUCACUCCCCCAAUCUGGAGCACCAGAAGCAAGGCCCGGCUGGGUCUCCUACUCACAUCACUCCUCGCCACGGCGUCGCCCAACCUGCUCGUCUCCUUCCCUCUGGUCGCCCGAGCCGAGGUCGACGGCGAGCUGCAGGACGUCCACGAGCCCAUGGAGCAGGCGCUCGAGGGAGUAGUUCCCCUGCUCCCAUUCCUCUUCCUCGCCUCGUUGCCAUGGUCACUGGCCGCCACGCGCUCCAGAUUUGUUGUCAUGAAGCUACAUCGAGGCCGUCAACAUGCGUGAUGUGAACGACGACCCACCCCCGCUGUUUCCCCUCUCAUCAGGUGUGAUGCUUGCGCGUGAGUAAUGCUUGUGCCUUUGUGCUGAUUUUUAAUCACCUGGGAGUUGACUAGUUAGUUCGCGGUGAUGGACAUAUUGAUCGAGCUCAUUUUGUGGUCAUGGCCGAAGCACUUUUUUUACACAAGUAGUCUGAUCAUGGCUGAAGCACUUCUUUUUUGCACAAACAGUUUGAUAACGGCUGAAGCACUUAAGUGAGACAUUGAAGAAAAUGUUAUCUGAAUCAACGCA